AGGAUCAUUAUUGAAAAGAAAAAAAAGACUGUAGCUGGCCACUAGUAGGCAUGUGCACGUCUACCUUUACAACCCCCACCUGUGCACCUGUUGUAGGUCCUCGAAAGAGGAUCUAUGUUUAUUUUACACCCUAUUGUAUGUCUAUAGAAUGUGAAAUAAAAGUUAUACAACUUUCAGCAACGGAUCUCUUGGCUCUCGCAUCGAUGAAGAACGCAGCGAAUUGCGAUAAGUAAUGUGAAUUGCAGAUUUUCAGUGAAUCAUCGAAUCUUUGAACGCACCUUGCGCUCCUUGGUAUUCCAAGGAGCAUGCCUGUUUGAGUGUCAUUAAAUUCUCAACCAAUAAUUGUAUUAUUGGCUUGGAGUUGGGGGUUUGCUGGGGAUUGUCAGCUCUCCUGAAAUGCAUUAAGCAAGACGUGCACGGCCAAAAUUGACGUGAUAAUGAUCGUCAUGGGCUGGAGCGUCAUGAAAAAUGAUUUUGACCUCAAAUCAGGUAGGACUACCCGCUGAACUUAAGCAUAUCAAUAAGCGGAGGAAAAGAAACUAACAAGGAUUCCCCUAGUAACUGCGAGUGAAGCGGGAAGAGCUCAAAUUUUGAAUCUGGUGG
RNAcentral lists this ribosomal RNA (603 nucleotides) under Boletaceae sp. MHM081. RNAcentral describes it as "eukaryotic LSU rRNA". The stretch from base 169 to 323 matches the Rfam family "5.8S ribosomal RNA". The record is from RNAcentral. Lineage: Eukaryota; Fungi; Basidiomycota; Agaricomycetes; Boletales; Boletaceae.